GUGGGGAAUAUUGGACAAUGGGCGAAAGCCUGAUCCAGCAAUGCCGCGUGAGUGAUGAAGGCCCUAGGGUUGUAAAGCUCUUUUACCCGGGAUGAUAAUGACAGUACCGGGAGAAUAAGCUCCGGCUAACUUCGUGCCAGCAGCCGCGGUAAUACGAGGGGAGCUAGCGUUGUUCGGAAUUACUGGGCGUAAAGCGCGCGUAGGCGGUUUUUUAAGUCAGAGGUGAAAGCCCGGGGCUCAACCCCGGAAUUGCCUUUGAAACUGGAAAACUAGAAUCUUGGAGAGGUCAGUGGAAUUCCGAGUGUAGAGGUGAAAUUCGUAGAUAUUCGGAAGAACACCAGUGGCGAAGGCGACUGACUGGACAAGUAUUGACGCUCAUGCACGAAAGCGUGGGGAGCAAACAGGAUUAGAAACCCUAGUAGUCC
Molecule: ribosomal RNA, 425 nt
Filed under: uncultured bacterium
Lineage: Bacteria
Description: partial 16S ribosomal RNA
Rfam family: Bacterial small subunit ribosomal RNA
Source: RNAcentral